This 505-nucleotide ribosomal RNA is filed under the name uncultured bacterium. RNAcentral describes it as "bacterial SSU rRNA". It matches the Rfam family "Bacterial small subunit ribosomal RNA", at positions 15 to 518 of the family's 1533-position model. The record is from RNAcentral.
GAUUCUGGCUCAGGAUGAACGCUGGCGGCGUGCCUAACACAUGCAAGUCGAACGGAAACUAGACGCUUCGGAGACUUCGGUCAAUGUUGUUUAGUUUAGUGGCGGACGGGUGAGUAACGCGUGGAUAACCUGCCAUAUACAGGGGGAUAACAGUUAGAAAUGACUGCUAAUACCGCAUAAGCGCACAGUCUCGCAUGGGACAGUGUGAAAAAACUCCGGUGGUAUAUGAUGGAUCCGCGUCUGAUUAGCCAGUUGGCGGGGUAACGGCCCACCAAAGCGACGAUCAGUAGCCGGCCUGAGAGGGUGAACGGCCACAUUGGGACUGAGACACGGCCCAAACUCCUACGGGAGGCAGCAGUGGGGGAUAUUGCACAAUGGGGGAAACCCUGAUGCAAGCGACGCCGCGUGAGUGAAGAAGUAUUUCGGUAUGUAAAGCUCUAUCAGCAGGGAAGAUAAUGACGGUACCUGACUAAGAAGCACCGGCUAAAUACGUGCCAGCCGCCGC